UCCAUCUUGAGUUGGAAAUGUCUCUUGAAGAUACAUGCCCAUUACAGCCUGGUCAAAUGGCAGCCUGUUCCUUUGAGGAUUCUUUUGAAGAUUCUAAGCUAGUUACUUCUUGCUCCAAUUUCUUCUGAUAUGCAAAAGGUAAACAAAAGUAAUGCAAAACUGUGAGUGAAGAUCAUACAGAAAGAUUAUCUCCAGAAAUUUCAAAAAGAAUCAAAUCAAAUUGGGUCUCCCCCUGCUGUGUGAAACAGAGUAUUUUGAAUUGCGUCUGUUCCCAAAAGCAAUGUUACUAGAAUUGGUCUUCCACUUGAUUACAGAGGCAAAUGAAGAAACACAACUUGUAAAUAUCAAAUAAAAUGAGACUGCUUGAUACAAAUAUUUUACAUUUAUUGGAAGAGUACAGUGAAACGGGGACUGCAGACUCAUUAGUGGUAAGUGGUCCAAAGGAGAAGACAAAGGACUAUUCAAAAAAGGUCUGCAGUUUACAAGAAGACUGAAAAUCUCUUACAUAACAGCCUAGGAAAAUAAAAAGUUAGCCUUAGUUCUAAAGUGUAACUUUAAAGUAUAUAAAAAAUUGGCAAAUAAAUAAAGUUAAAAUGCAGAUCUAUUUAAAAGUAUAAAGGACCGACAACUGGCAACUGUAAAACAUAGUUAUAAUUUUCAGACUUGAUUAAAAGCCAGAUAAAUUCACAAAUGUUGUUUCUUUUUUUAAAAUUUUAUUUUACAUGUACUUUAGGGAAGAAGGACCCAUUUCCAGUGUUAUGUAGUAUCGAUCUGUUUCACAAAUAUAUUAUUUUUAAACAACAAAGAGCAUAAAAGGUGCUUUACCUGAUAUUGCUGGUGUGUAUUUUGGCACAAAAUUGAGAACUGGAUACCUAAAGACAUCUGCAAAUGGCAUCUGUGUCCACUCAAGGCUACUGGUGACAAAAGUCUGGCUUGCGAUGGCAAUCCAGUGUGAAUUUCCCUCCUUCCCUAACACCCCUGUUCUGUCUCCAGCUGCCAACAGUUACACAAAGGAAAAGCAACACAUGCAAUUUUAAAAUCAGCAGUCCUACAACCCCAGCCCAAGUUUCAUCCCCGGAAGUCCUUUAACAGAAGGUACAAGGCAGGUGUUUAAUGCUGGCUUUCACUCCUCAGUGUUUCUCUGCAGGAGUCUGCCUGCCUUGUGUGUCCUGUGUGAUGAACCUGUAUCAUGGAGUUUUUUCCUAUUACAUGUUUUCAGCAUUUUAGUGAAAACUAAGUGGGAAGCUUGCUAAAAAAACCAAA
Molecule: long non-coding RNA, 1263 nt
Organism: Melozone crissalis (California towhee)
Lineage: Eukaryota; Metazoa; Chordata; Aves; Passeriformes; Passerellidae
Exons: 2
Source: RefSeq, a predicted model, not a curated record